UACGUAGGGGGCAAGCGUUGUCCGGAAUUAUUGGGCGUAAAGAGCGCGUAGGCGGUCUGAUAAGUCGGUUGUGAAAGUCGGGGGCUCAACCCUCGGAUGCCGAUCGAUACUGUCAGGCUAGAGUCCGGAAGAGGCGAGUGGAAUUCCUGGUGUAGCGGUGAAAUGCGCAGAUAUCAGGAGGAACACCGGUGGCGAAGGCGGGUCUCUGGGCCGUAACUGACGCUGAGGAGCGAAAGCAUGGGGAGCGAACAGG
RNAcentral lists this ribosomal RNA (253 nucleotides) under uncultured bacterium. RNAcentral's name for it is "partial 16S ribosomal RNA". It matches the Rfam family "Bacterial small subunit ribosomal RNA", at positions 524 to 776 of the family's 1533-position model. The record is from RNAcentral.